UAAGGAAUAUUGGACAAUGGAGGCAACUCUGAUCCAGCCAUGCCGCGUGAAGGAAUAAGGCCCUAUGGGUUGUAAACUUCUUUUAGACGGGACAAAACCCCUUUACGUGUAAAGGGUUGAUGGUACUGUCAGAAUAAGCAUCGGCUAACUUCGUGCCAGCAGCCGCGGUAAUACGAAGGAUGCAAGCGUUAUCCGGAAUUAUUGGGUUUCAAGGGUGCGUAGGCGGACUAAUAAGUCAGUGGUGAAAGCCUGCAGCUUAACUGCAGAAUUGCCAUUGAUACUGUUAGUCUUGAGUACAGUUGAGGUAGGCGGAAUGUGUCAUGUAGCGGUGAAAUGCUUAGAUAUGACACAGAACACCGAUUGCGAAGGCAGCUUGCUAAGCUGUAACUGACGCUGAGGCACGAAAGCGUGGGGAGCAAACA
Molecule: ribosomal RNA, 422 nt
Filed under: uncultured bacterium
Lineage: Bacteria
Description: bacterial SSU rRNA
Rfam family: Bacterial small subunit ribosomal RNA
Source: RNAcentral